CACUGCAGCUCCCUAUCUAGAAACUAGUUCGUGUUGCAGAAUCAUUCUCUGCGAGGGACACAGCUGGACAAAUGCUUGGAGCUGACAGUGAGGAGCCUCUCCCAGCCAGGAUUUCAUCAAGGAUCCAGGACCUCAGAAGUGAGGACUGAGCCGGGGGCAUCCUCCCAGAAGGUCCAGAUAAUCCAGUUCUACUCCUGAUAACAGCUGUGGGAGAUCCCUGGCAGAGCUGUCAGACUGUGAGCCUUCCUCAAUCUGCCCUGGGGGUCUUCAGAGAGGAGGCGGACUUCCUGUCAUCCGGGGCUCGGAGAGACUUGGGAACUGGUAUAAAAGGCGGGGCUUCAGUUGGAUCGAGGAGAGAAUCUCGGGUCCUGCUUGGAGACAAGGAGCUCCAGGAACCAGGAGGUAAAGACUGA
RNAcentral lists this long non-coding RNA (413 nucleotides) under Cervus hanglu yarkandensis (Yarkand deer). RNAcentral's name for it is "lncRNA (ENSCHYG00000022942.1)". Lineage: Eukaryota; Metazoa; Chordata; Mammalia; Artiodactyla; Cervidae. The record is from RNAcentral.